CAGAGAGAGUGGAAGGUCAUAAAUACAAGUGUUGGAGUCUUGGAUAAGGCAAGGAGGAAGACAUAAAAAGAAGAAAUGAUUCAAGUAAAACAGUGCAGUACGCAGGCCUCCCUGUCUCCCAGUUUAAACUCUCAUGCUCUUCUGCUUUCUACUGUAUUUCUUCUAUAUUCAUCAAGAAGUCCUUUCGGAGAACAGGACACCCCCUGCGAUCACCACGCAUCCAUCACAGAAGAGGGGACACCAGCUACAUUUCACACUUGC
RNAcentral lists this long non-coding RNA (261 nucleotides) under Fukomys damarensis (Damara mole-rat). Its description in RNAcentral is "lncRNA (ENSFDAG00000029609.1)". The record is from RNAcentral. Lineage: Eukaryota; Metazoa; Chordata; Mammalia; Rodentia; Bathyergidae.